RNAcentral lists this ribosomal RNA (253 nucleotides) under uncultured bacterium. Its description in RNAcentral is "partial 16S ribosomal RNA". It matches the Rfam family "Bacterial small subunit ribosomal RNA", at positions 524 to 776 of the family's 1533-position model. The record is from RNAcentral.
UACGUAGGAUGCGAGCGUUGUCCGGAAUUAUUGGGCGUAAAGCGAACGUAGGCGGUUAAUUAAGUUUGGUCUUAAAGACCGAGGCUCAACCUCGGGAGUGGAUCGAAAACUGGUUGACUGGAGGAUGUCAGAGGAAAGUGGAAUUCCGAGUGUAGCGGUGAAAUGCGUAGAUAUUCGGAGGAACACCAGUGGCGAAAGCGACUUUCUGGGACAUUCCUGACGCUGAGGUUCGAAAGCUCGGGGAGCAAACAGG